CCCGCUGUAUCGAAUUCUUUUAGUAUCCAGCCUGCUCCCUUUGUUCAGUCGGAAGACUUUUCUUUUGAAAAAGACUUUUUAGUCCCGUCCAACAAGAGAGGUAAAGCCUUUCUAUUCAAAUGAGACGCACUCCCAUUGUCUCGCUAAGGUCAGCAGCAGGACAUAGAGCAGGGAUUGAGUAGUCUUGGGAGGCGGACUUAUAUUCCCCGGUUACGAGUUGACGACGUUUUCACUACUCAAACUUGAAAAAGUCUUUUACACCUUCGGGAAAGCGUACCGGAAGACCCAAUGUCGCGUCCAACAAGAGAGGUAAAGCCUUUCUAUUCAAAUGAGACGCACUCCCAUUGUCUAGCUAAGGUCAGUAGCAGGACAUAGAGCAGGGACUGAGUAGUCUUGGGAGGCGGACUUAUAUUCCCCGGUUACGAGUUGACGACGUUUUCACUA
This 444-nucleotide long non-coding RNA is filed under the name Nicotiana benthamiana. RNAcentral's name for it is "long non-coding RNA (NBEN_LNC011769)". The record is from RNAcentral. Lineage: Eukaryota; Viridiplantae; Streptophyta; Magnoliopsida; Solanales; Solanaceae.